RNAcentral lists this ribosomal RNA (498 nucleotides) under uncultured bacterium. RNAcentral's name for it is "bacterial SSU rRNA". It matches the Rfam family "Bacterial small subunit ribosomal RNA", at positions 501 to 1000 of the family's 1533-position model. The record is from RNAcentral.
CUACGUGCCAGCAGCCGCGGUAAUACGGAGGGUGCGAGCGUUAAUCGGAAUAACUGGGCGUAAAGGGCACGCAGGCGGUGACUUAAGUGAGGUGUGAAAGCCCCGGGCUUAACCUGGGAAUUGCAUUUCAUACUGGGUCGCUAGAGUACUUUAGGGAGGGGUAGAAUUCCACGUGUAGCGGUGAAAUGCGUAGAGAUGUGGAGGAAUACCGAAGGCGAAGGCAGCCCCUUGGGAAUGUACUGACGCUCAUGUGCGAAAGCGUGGGGAGCAAACAGGAUUAGAUACCCUGGUAGUCCACGCUGUAAACGAUGUCGAUUUGGGGGUUGAGCUUUAAGCUUGGCGCCCGUAGCUAACGUGAUAAAUCGACCGCCUGGGGAGUACGGCCGCAAGGUUAAAACUCAAAUGAAUUGACGGGGGCCCGCACAAGCGGUGGAGCAUGUGGUUUAAUUCGAUGCAACGCGAAGAACCUUACCUACUCUUGACAUCCAGAGAACAUUC